GGGGGGGCAAGCGUUUGUUUCGGAAUUACUGGGCGUAAAGGGCUCGUAGGCGGCCAACUAAGUCGGACGUGAAAUCCCUCGGCUUAACCGAGGAACUGCGUCUGAUACUGGAUGGCUUGAGUCCGGGAGAGGGAUGCGGAAUUCCAGGUGUAGCGGUGAAAUGCGUAGAUAUCUGGAGGAACACCGGUGGCGAAGGCGGCAUCCUGGACCGGCACUGACGCUGAGGAGCGAAAGCCAGGGGAGCAAACGGGAUUAGAUACCCCGGGUAGUCCUGGCCCUAAACGAUGAAUGCUUGGUGUGGCGGGUAUCGAUCCCCUGCCGUGCCGAAGCUAACGCGAUAAGCAUUCCGCCUGGGGGAGUACGGUCGCAAGGCUG
RNAcentral lists this ribosomal RNA (375 nucleotides) under uncultured organism. Its description in RNAcentral is "partial 16S ribosomal RNA". It matches the Rfam family "Bacterial small subunit ribosomal RNA", at positions 528 to 896 of the family's 1533-position model. The record is from RNAcentral.